Molecule: long non-coding RNA, 706 nt
Organism: Molossus molossus (Pallas's mastiff bat)
Lineage: Eukaryota; Metazoa; Chordata; Mammalia; Chiroptera; Molossidae
Exons: 4
Source: RefSeq, a predicted model, not a curated record
CCUCCCCUUACCCAUGCACCAGGUACACGUCGUGAAUACACUCGGUGACAGAUUCACAAGGACGCAGAGCUUCCCCAGGGCCUGUCCCUCUUGUACUUCCGAAGGCCACCAGAGCACUGCCUUUGAAGUCAAAGGGAUCUGGACUUGAGCUACAUGACCUUGGGCCAGAACUUGAUCUCUGUGUUGCCAGUGGAAAUAGGAUUCUUCCAUGGAGUCACAAGAAAAGCAUUUCGGGGACCCACGCAUAGGAGGAUCUUCCUGGAACCCUCCUCAUUCUACGUGGGAGAAGAAAGAAGAAAUGAAGGUGUUGUCUUAGAAACUAUGGUUGGGAUUUUCCCCUGUAAGAACGCACAUGGUUGUCCUUUUCCCGGAAAGUACCCUUCUGAGUUGGCCACCGGUCUGCCUCCUCCUGGCCUCUUGGGCCAGGCCAAGGGUCAGCGCCUCGGUGAGGCCACCCCGAAACCUGACGCUCCGGCCGCUCCCACCACCCUGUCCAUCUCGGUGCGGAGCUCUGCUGUGUUGGACUAAACACACACCUGGCUAGAGACUGGGAGGCCUUGGAAGGGACGUCACCAGCCACGAGCAAGGGCAGGAACAGAAACUGGCCCAAUCUCUCCAGCUCCUUCUCUUCAGUCAAAACCAAACCAGCAGGCAUUCGCAGUGACUCAGACGCGUCCUCGCGCCACGCUGGGAAGUGACGGCCUGG